GAUGAAGAACGUAGCGAAAUGCGAUACGUAAUGUGAAUUGCAGAAUUCAGUGAAUCAUCGAGUCUUUGAACGCACAUUGCGCCCCCUGGUAUUCCGGGGGGCAUGCCUGUCCGAGCGUCAUUGCUGCCCUCAAGCACGGCUUGUGUGUUGGGCCUCCGUCCUCCUCCCGGGGGACGGGCCCGAAAGGCAGCGGCGGCACCGCGUCCAGUCCUCGAGCGUAUGGGGCUUCGUCACCCGCUCUUGUAGGCCCGGCCGGCGCUUGCCGACACAUCAAUCUUUUUUCCAGGUUGACCUCGGAUCAGGUAGGGAUACCCGCUGAACUUAAGCAUAUCAAUAAGCGGAGGA
RNAcentral lists this unclassified non-coding RNA (345 nucleotides) under soil metagenome. Its description in RNAcentral is "partial contains 5.8S ribosomal RNA, internal transcribed spacer 2, and large subunit ribosomal RNA". The stretch from base 1 to 120 matches the Rfam family "5.8S ribosomal RNA", at positions 35 to 154 of the family's 154-position model. The record is from RNAcentral.